Oreochromis aureus is the source of this 1209-nucleotide long non-coding RNA. NCBI's taxonomy places the organism in Eukaryota, Metazoa, Chordata, Actinopteri, Cichliformes, Cichlidae. The record is from Ensembl.
UGGAAUUACGGUACCACUCGUGACGCAGAGAGCUUCGACUGAUGCAACUUUAUUCUCUCCUCUUUUAAACCACCGACAAUAUGGCACCGUGAAAACUAUAAAGAUGCACAAACAAAUGCCAUUAUAACAUUUAAGUAAAAAGUGCAGAAAUGUUCACAUUUUACUAUAUAGAAAAUUAUUUGAUGAACUCAAAUCGUGACAUUGACAUAAAUCAAUAGCUUUUAAACAAUUUAUGUUACAGUAUUUAAUAAAAUGAAUUAACGACAACCUUUCUGUCUCUUAAAACAAUCAUUUGCAAUCAUUAAACCAACCUCUUUCUGCUUCCAAGGGUGCUAAUCAUGCUGAACCAGCUAGCCAACCUCCUCCAUGCGCAUCUCUUAGCCACAAAUGACAUGCAUAUACAAAAAACGAAUUCAAGCACAUUGUUUAAACUUUCAAAGCUAUAGCAUGUGACAGGUAAAUAAAAUACAUAGUUUUGCAGUAUUUUCAAAAAAUAAAGGUUUUUACUCACUCUGAAGCAACAUGUUUGUGUCGUUUCACUGAGAACAGAACAGGAAGUCUGACACAAUAAAAGAGGAAGUGCUAAGGUAUUCGAAACUCAAAAUAAAAGAGCAAAAGAGCAAAGUAAAGCCCCCACAAGAGCAUCCAUGUGUCCAUUUUGUCCCACCGAACUGUCCAAAAUGCACUAGCAUGAUGUUGGAAGUUUUCUGACUGAAGCCACCCUAAAGGGAAGGACCACAUUCGUUAACGGCUGCAACAGAAGACAUAAGAAAAAGAUUAUUAUCGUCCACAUUGUUUAAAAAAAGACUUGAGGCUGCAAUGGAUAGACACGGAGAAGGUGCCAUUCAGCUGUAUGUCCUGCAUGUGGGUUCCUGGUUUCAUUUUCAUCUCAUCUACGACCAGACUGACGGACUGGCUGUGAUACUUUAUGGUGACAGAGGGAAGCUUGCUGCGAUAUUCCUGCAGAGGAUGAUGAUGGAGUUCUUCAGGGACUGGAUUCACAGGCCUGAGUGACCAAGACCAUCAGUGACCUGAUGCAGAGAGCAGCUGGGAACCUCUGUGGGGCCUUCAGCAUCCAACAGUGCCUGCACACAUUAAAUGUUGUAGAUGUUGUUUAAAAUUCAAUAAUGAAAUAAUUAAAUGAAAUAAUUAAAUGUUAUCUUUCCUUGUUAUUAUUCCAUACAUUCAUUUUCAUCCUGGACAGAGCCC